Molecule: ribosomal RNA, 264 nt
Filed under: uncultured bacterium
Lineage: Bacteria
Description: partial 16S ribosomal RNA
Rfam family: Bacterial small subunit ribosomal RNA
Source: RNAcentral
GUCCAUGCUGUAAACGAUGAAUACUAGAUGUCAGAGCCCUAGAGGUUUUGGUAUCGCAGCUAACGCAUUAAGUAUUCCGCCUGGGGAGUACGGUCGCAAGACUAAAACUCAAAGGAAUUGACGGGGGCCCCGCACAAGCGGUGGAGCAUGUGGUUUAAUUCGAUGCAACGCGAAGAACCUUACCUGCACUUGACAUCCUCAGAACUGGUUGGAGACGACCGGGUGCCUUCGGGAACUGAGAGACAGGUGCUGCAUGGCUGUCGU